AUUCCUGAUGAAUAUUAAUGCAAACAUCCUCAACAGAAUACUAGCAAACUAAAUUCAGCAACACAUUUUGCUCUGCACUUUGUUUUUUAUGGUUUGUUCACUUUUUACUAAUAUUCCCUGAAGCUCAUUCUAUAGCAUUAUAUAAAAAUUAUUCAUCCCUUUUUACAUUUGGUUAGAAUGUAAUAGCAUAAUUGUAUUAUCACUGUCAAUUACUUUCUCUUUAUGACAAGUGUAUCAGCCAGGUUCCUGGCAGAAAACAUGGCACUUUCAAAAUGGGUAAUCUGAGAAUUUCAUCAAGGGACUAUUUAUAAAGAUGUUGGCCUUGUGUAUGUAAA
This 335-nucleotide long non-coding RNA is filed under the name Pan troglodytes (chimpanzee). RNAcentral describes it as "long non-coding RNA NONPTRT014302". The record is from RNAcentral. Lineage: Eukaryota; Metazoa; Chordata; Mammalia; Primates; Hominidae.